This 252-nucleotide ribosomal RNA is filed under the name uncultured bacterium. Its description in RNAcentral is "partial 16S ribosomal RNA". It matches the Rfam family "Bacterial small subunit ribosomal RNA", at positions 524 to 776 of the family's 1533-position model. The record is from RNAcentral.
UACGGAGGAUGCGAGCGUUAUCCGGAUUUAUUGGGUUUAAAGGGUGCGUAGGCGGCCUGCCAAGUCAGCGGUAAAAUUGCGGGGCUCAACCCCGUACAGCCGUUGAAACUGCCGGGCUCGAGUGGGCGAGAAGUAUGCGGAAUGCGCGGUGUAGCGGUGAAAUGCAUAGAUAUCACGCAGAACCCCGAUUGCGAAGGCAGCAUACCGGCGCCCUACUGACGCUGAGGCACGAAAGUGCGGGGAUCAAACAGG